Molecule: long non-coding RNA, 577 nt
Organism: Suricata suricatta (meerkat)
Lineage: Eukaryota; Metazoa; Chordata; Mammalia; Carnivora; Herpestidae
Exons: 3
Source: RefSeq, a predicted model, not a curated record
GAGGCCGUGCUUUGGCUUCUACUUUAUUCUUCAGUUCCCGCCCAAGUGUGCACGCGGAGUUUGCUGCUCCAGGCUGUGGGGGGCACGAAAUGACCGUGAGCAGGCGGUCCCCCUGUAGGGACCCGGCUCCGGUGAGGUGUGACCACGCACAGUUAAACACGGCGUGUGGCUCUCGUAUGGACCCGCGCUCCACACAGUGCGGCCCGAGUGCCCGAGGUGUGAGACACGUUCAGGGAUUCAGACUGGGUCUUCGGAAACCCGUCGCAAGUUGAGAAAGUUUGUCAGCAGGAUCAGUCCUUGGAACAUGGGAAGAAGCACUGAUAACCCCAGGAAGAAAACCGAUGCUUCUCCAGAGGUAGUUUUAAGAAGCACAGCGGCUCAUCUUAGCCUGAGAACAGUGAAGGGGACAAGAGAUGUGUGGCCCAGAAACGCAGAUGAAAACCCCGUUUUUCUGUGCUCACAGGGCUGUUUGCACAAGACCUACACACUGAAAGAUUGAGAGCCACGUGGGCUUGAUGUAUGCAACCUACUCUCAACUGAUUCAGGAAAAAAUAGAUGUAAAUAUAAAUAAAGGAAA